Molecule: microRNA precursor, 79 nt
Filed under: Oryza sativa (Asian cultivated rice)
Lineage: Eukaryota; Viridiplantae; Streptophyta; Magnoliopsida; Poales; Poaceae
Description: miR5801a stem-loop (osa-MIR5801a)
Source: miRBase by way of RNAcentral
UCACGAUACCAAAUCGUUUUCGAUCGUUGGAUUAUCCUGCCGAGCUAGAUCAACGAUCGAAAACGUUUUGGUACUGUGA